ACAGGUAUCUUAAAAGCUUUGCUCACUCAUCCCUUCUCUGACUUAGGAUUUGAGCAUCUUUCUGUUAUGCUGUUGCCCCACUCCUAUUGCAAUACUCCCCUUCUUAAGAAAGUUUUUCUAGACUAAUGUCUAGAUUAAACUUCUUUUCUUUGACAAUAAUGAUGCCAUGACUUGGACAAAAUGCCCAUUGCCCCUGGGUCCUGCUUUCUUCACCCGGUGCUGCCUUAUUGGACUCUUUGUGCCUCUCCUUGGCUGGGGAAAUCAGAAUCCACAGUGGCAUCCCACUUCUAAGAUGCCUGAUCUGAAGGACAGUAAAACAACUGACCUUUUCCAGCAUGUCAAACCCAUGGUUUAACUAGUCCUCCAGGAACAACACUGAGCAAUCCUGACCUGGGACUACUUUACUCAGCCAUCUCUUACUUGAGAUUCUCCUUGUCUCUCUGUUCAAGGACACCUUUUCUGAGCCUUUCUUGAACAAGAGUGGAGGACUGAUAGGUUGGUUAAACUGUCCUUGACACAACUUUAGGUUGGUUUGCCUAAACUACUAGGUUCUCAAAUCUAUAUGAACCUCCUCCAGCAUUCUAAUUUGUUUGCUCUGUCUUAGACCCAGAAUCCCACCCCAUGUGCCUGACCAUAGACCAAUCUUCCUGCCUUAACUUAUCUGCUGCCAAUAUUUGACGUAGCCCAGUAAGUUUCAGCAUCAUCCCUCACCAUCCCACAGUCCCCCACCCUGCCCCCACCCCCGCCACACACACGUACAAGCUCUUAGCAUCAAACCCCCUUCCAUUUUCCAUAAGCAUUUCUCCCAAGGUCUCUGCAUAUAAAAGCUGUGUUUGCUCACCCCAUGCCUGACUCCCAAGGUCUCUGCAUAUAAAAGCUGUGUUUGCUCACCCCAUGCCUGAGACUUUCCUGGCUUAGAUCUUGAGCAUCUUUCUAAGAUUCUCCAUUAGUAAUGAUUUCCUCACUUAACUUCAGAUUUGUACAUUUUUUUUUCCUUGACAGUGCAAAAGAUACCAUUUAGGAUUUGAUUUUCAGAAGGUAAAAUAUAAAACAUUGUCAGGAAAUUCAAAUACUUAAUUAAGUAGGAAAAUGGAUUACUGAGAAAUAGUACGUGGUUAUCUAUUUAAUCAAAUGAUGUAAAAUAAUUUUAGAGUAGAUAUAGGAGGUAACAUAAUUGCAAAGAACUUUAUCUCUUUUAUAUGAAGACUGUUCUCUUAAAUAAUCAAGGACUCAAAAAAGUCAGCACAAAGCACAGAAAAUUAUUCUGAUGAGAUUCUGAAUGUUUAUCUUCUAAGCAGAUUACUCAGAAGGUAAAGAAAAAUAUUUUACAGGCUCUUAUUAAGAGAAUACACUAAUCCGAAAAAAUUAUUUUAAUAGAGAAUAAAACAAAUUCUAGUUUUGCAUCUGCAUAUUUGCUACUAACGCUUAUAUUAAACAUUUUGUAAACAAACCCAUUAAACUUCAGCCAGCUGUGACUAUAAGAAAUAAAAUUUCUUAUCCAUGAACCUUCUACAGCUUUCUCUAUCUAGUUAGGGUUUUGUAGGGUUUUGCCCUACACUUUCCCCUUUCUCAUCCUGGAAUAACUACUCAUUUUACUUCAGAAAAAAAUUACUCUUGUUUUCCUUAACAAAAAAAUAUCCUGCAUACCUUGCACUCAAAAUGUUCCUUUCUGCCACAGUCACUUCUACUAGAGUCUCAUUCAUCUCAUUGACAUAUAUUGAUUAUAACUUUUUUUUUUUUGAGUCAGAGUCUCGCUCUAUCACCCAGGCUGAGUGCAGUGGUGUAAUUUUGGCUCACUGCAACCUCAGUCUCCCGGGUUCAAGCAGUUCUCCUGCCUUAGUCUCCUGAGUAGCUGGGAUUACAGGCGUGUGCCACCACGCCCAGUUAAUUUUUUUAUUUUUAGUAGAGACGGGGUUUCACCAUUUUGGUCAGGCUGGUCUCAAACUCCUGACCUCAUGAUCCGCCUGCCUCGGCCUCCCAAAGUGCUGGGAUUACAGGUGUUAGCCACCGUGCCCGGCCUUGAUUAUUUUUAACUACAGUAACUCCUAUGGCAUAGAGAAAGCUUGGAGGUAGUAUAAAAGAAAAGUUACUGGUUAGGUAUUAAAACAGCCAGAUAGAUCUUAUUCAAACUGCUGCAGUAGGGGAGAGAGGUUUCUGUAUGGAACUGAGCUCAACUUCUAAUACAGCAAAGACAGUUGUGGAUUUAUAGCCAAGGAGUAGAGCAAGGAGGUAAGCAGAUGGAAAUUUACUAAGAACUUAACUAGAUAUCAAAGGUAGAGGGAUUCUUGCUAAACUGGCUUAAUAAAAUUAUUUUUAAUAAUAAAACUAUUAAUAAUAAAACUACUUUCUAAAACUAAGAUAUCCAGAGUAGAGAGUGAGAAACUUGAUCAAAUAUCCAGUAGUCUAAUACCAAGAAUUAGUAAAUUCUUGAUAAAUUCGCUAAGCAGGAAUCUUUACUAAAACUGGGCUGGGCAGGCCAAGGUCAAAGUCUACUUAGGAAGAAUGCUCCAAGGAGCCUAACUCAAGUUUGGUCAAGGGAAGAGUCUUUUGCAGUGGAUAAUUGUGAACUAUUUUCAUACACACUAUUUCGUAGCAGACUAACAGAUCUUAGGAAUAUACAUCUCAUAAUUUUUGCAGUAAUAAACAUCCCUAUAAUACAACUCGCUGUAGCAAAAAAAUAAACAUGCUCAUGAACACACCCAAAUAUAUAGGCUCUCUGUAUUAUAUAAAAAAAAUAAGCAAAAAGUCUAUAAGCAGAAAAUUAUACUUAGUAAUGAAUGCUUCAGUAUUUUAUUAUAGUUAGAUAAUCCAGGUAUCUAAUGAAUGCCCAUUAAUUAACCAAGUUUAGCAUCAGCCAAAAGUUUUAUGUUAUCAAAAGAUCUUGGUCUUGAGCCAAGAUGACACACUAUAAAACGUAAUUAGUUACUUUUGAAUUAACAUUUGUCAAAAGAGUGAUUCAAUUUAACUAACUGCAAAUUUAUAUUUUUAUAAUUAUAAACAUAUAGUAAGUAAAAUGAUAGAUUAUUAAACCAAGAAACCUGUAUAAGCUGAGGAAGAAUGUGCCGAAGUAGAUUAAAAUGUAUGCUUGUGUAUUACCUAAUACUGAGAACUCAGAAGACAUAACUGUUUUAAUUAAACCAACAAAAUAAAGCUAGUCUCAUUUGCCAAAAUUUACCUAAAUUAUGUAACUUAAAUUGUUAGAAUAUUCAAGCUAGUAUCUAUAAGCAUAUUAAAAAUAGAAAUGCAAUUAUCUUAAUUUCCAGAAAUUUUUGAAUAUUUCAUUUAUAUAAGACCUUAGUUAGUUCUAAGUCAAUCAGAAAAUAGUACCUUUAAAAAUUUUGAUAAUCUAAUUUAGUAACACCAUCUGGAGGCAGGAAAACAUUACAUACCCACAGACACAUAAAUAUACAUACAGAUCUAGAGAACUAAUCAUUUUAAUUCUAAAAUCUCAGCCAUAGACAAGGCAUAACACAGAAAUACAUAACUCACUUGUUUCUAUAAAAAGGGCUCUUUUCAUUCCACUGGGUAGAAAUUCUUGAUUGAGUUCAAAAUAGAGAAAAAAAUAGACAAACAAAAAUAACAAACCCAAUUUUCUGGCAUCUUUCUGACCUAACAGAGACACAAUAUCUGCAAACCAUUUAAUUCAUUUACAGAGAUUACCAAGUGACCACACCCACACACACACACACAAAUCCAGCACUAGAGAUCAACUGCAUACUCAAUGAAAAUUAAAUUCCUACCAUGCUACCAACAGACAAGAGUCUGGAGCAUUGAAUUAGGAAUAGGGCUCACCUUUAGGUCCCUGUAUUGCCAGUCACAAAUGGAGCACAAAGGCUCCAAGUGUCCUUAUUACCUGGGUGGAGCAGAUGGAGAUCUGAAGGCAUGGUCCCAUUUUGAGUCAUGGCAGCAAUCCUGUCAAAGAAACAGACAAGUUAAAAGAUUGCUUUUAUUUAGGCUAUUGCAAUAGGGAAACCACCGUUAUCUGAAGAUGAUGGGAAUGACUCAGCCUCUUAGGCAGUUUGACUUUUAUAGGGAGGGGUAAACAAAUGCAAAUGAUGUGGUUUAACACUGUGGUCAGUUGCAAACUGCAGAUGUCACAGUUUGUUAACUUUCCAAAACAUUUGGGGAUGUUUUUCUCAGUAGUGGUUGUGGUUUUUCUUAGUAAGCUUCGGAGAGCAGAGAUAUUAUCUCAGCUAAUCAGCUAUGAGACAACAGGAUGUAGAUUUUUUUGCUUUGUCAGCAGGUUUUGUCAGCAGAUGAAAGGGGACAGUUUGUGGUAGGUCUUGUCACACUUGACCAAAGAUCUUCUAGAAGAGUUUCACACAGAGAUAACAUCAAACAGAAAAACCAGAAACAGGAAGGGGGCUGUGGUUGUUCCCGCCCCCACCCCCCACCCCAAGUAAGGCUAAGAGGUUGAGGCAUACCUCCUUGCAGCCUAGCUCACUUACUUGCAUAUGAUGCACUUCCUUCCCGUGCCUGCCUGUCCCAACCCCACCCCACCUUCUUACACGUAGCCUUUCUUGCCCUGUGAAUACCCAUUUCUACACCUCUCUAUUUGCACUCAUGCUGACUCAAUCAGUGUGUCACCUCAUCCCUCCAAGGCUACUGUACUACCUUCCAAAAUGGCUGCCUUCCUUCCACUCUUUUUUCUCACAAUUUAGUUUCCACAGAGAAGCUAGAAUGAACAAAAGUGAAAAUCUGAUUUUUGUUACCAACCUGUUCAAAAUUUUUCUGUCUCUCCCUAUUGCCCUUCAAGGAAAGCCUAUGCUACAUAGCACAACAUUCAAACCCUUCAUGUUCCAGGUCACCCCCUUUUUUUGCCAGCCCUUAGCCAACUCUACAUUCCAGCUGUGCAGGACCUCCAGCUGCUUUCCUACACCCCCUGCAAUUCUCCAUGUCUAGGACUUUGCUUGUGCCUUUUCUUCCACCUCCAAUGCCCUCCCUCCAACUGGCUAAGUCCCAAUGUAUGUAUAUGAGAAUUUAGAGGAUACCUCUUCUGGAUUUAUCCCAGGCCCCAGCUUCAGCCCCCAGCCUUCCCUACCACCUUGAAGCUGAGUCUGGCUGAAAUUCCUCUAUUCCCUACCCUUUCCAGUCACAACUUGUUUAGCAAGUUCCUCCUUCUUUUUCUGUCUCUGCAGCUAGACCAGGAGCUCCCUGCAGUUCAAGACCAUGUGUUCUCUGAUGCUUUCUCAUGGCAAGGGGAGACAUAGGGUUGCAGUAGUGAGUGGGCAUCUGUUCUCAGAAGGCAGUGCCUGGAGCACUAUAAGUACUUAAUAAACUCUUGUGAAAUUAAAAA
Molecule: long non-coding RNA, 5296 nt
Filed under: Pongo abelii (Sumatran orangutan)
Lineage: Eukaryota; Metazoa; Chordata; Mammalia; Primates; Hominidae
Description: lincRNA
Source: RNAcentral